Molecule: ribosomal RNA, 460 nt
Filed under: uncultured bacterium
Lineage: Bacteria
Description: partial 16S ribosomal RNA
Rfam family: Bacterial small subunit ribosomal RNA
Source: RNAcentral
CCUACGGGAGGCAGCAGUGAGGAAUAUUGGUCAAUGGACGGAAGUCUGAACCAGCCAUGCCGCGUGCAGGAAGACGGCUCUAUGAGUUGUAAACUGCUUUUUUACAAGGGUAAACCUGAAUACGUGUAUUCUGCUGAAAGUACUGUACGAAUAAGGAUCGGCUAACUCCGUGCCAGCAGCCGCGGUAAUACGGAGGAUCCAAGCGUUAUCCGGAUUUAUUGGGUUUAAAGGGUGCGUAGGCGGAUUGAUAAGUUAGAGGUGAAAUGUCCGAGCUUAACUCGGGAACUGCCUCUAAUACUGUUGAUCUAGAGAGUAGAUGAGGUAGGCGGAAUGUAUGGUGUAGCGGUGAAAUGCUUAGAGAUAAUACAGAACACUGGUUGCGAAGGCAGCUUACCAAUCUAUAUCUGACGUUGAGGCACGAAAGCGUGGGGAGCAAACAGGAUUAGAUACCCGAGUAGUC